RNAcentral lists this ribosomal RNA (480 nucleotides) under Bacillus cereus. RNAcentral describes it as "bacterial SSU rRNA". It matches the Rfam family "Bacterial small subunit ribosomal RNA", at positions 28 to 487 of the family's 1533-position model. Lineage: Bacteria; Bacillati; Bacillota; Bacilli; Caryophanales; Bacillaceae. The record is from RNAcentral.
GAUGAACGCUGGCGGCGUGCCUAAUACAUGCAAGUCGAGCGAAUGGAUUAAGAGCUUGCUCUUAUGAAGUUAGCGGCGGACGGGUGAGUAACACGUUGGGUAACCUGCCCAUAAGACUGGGAUAACUCCGGGAAACCGGGGCUAAUACCGGAUAACAUUUUGAACCGCAUGGUUCGAAAUUGAAAGGCGGCUUCGGCUGUCACUUAUGGAUGGACCCGCGUCGCAUUAGCUAGUUGGUGAGGUAACGGCUCACCAAGGCAACGAUGCGUAGCCGACCUGAGAGGGUGAUCGGCCACACUGGGACUGAGACACGGCCCAGACUCCUACGGGAGGCAGCAGUAGGGAAUCUUCCGCAAUGGACGAAAGUCUGACGGAGCAACGCCGCGUGAGUGAUGAAGGCUUUCGGGUCGUAAAACUCUGUUGUUAGGGAAGAACAAGUGCUAGUUGAAUAAGCUGGCACCUUGACGGUACCUAACCAGA